RNAcentral lists this ribosomal RNA (489 nucleotides) under uncultured bacterium. RNAcentral's name for it is "partial 16S ribosomal RNA". It matches the Rfam family "Bacterial small subunit ribosomal RNA", at positions 30 to 506 of the family's 1533-position model. The record is from RNAcentral.
AUUGAACGCUGGCGGCAGGCCUAACACAUGCAAGUCGAACGGUAACAGGAAGAAGCUUGCUUCUUUGCUGACGAGUGGCGGACGGGUGAGUAAUGUCUGGGAAACUGCCUGAUGGAGGGGGAUAACUACUGGAAACGGUAGCUAAUACCGCAUAACGUCGCAAGACCAAAGAGGGGGACCUUCGGGCCUCUUGCCAUCGGAUGUGCCCAGAUGGGAUUAGCGAGUAGGUGGGGUAACGGCUCACCUAGGCGACGAUCCCUAGCUGGUCUGAGAGGAUGACCAGCCACACUGGAACUGAGACACGGUCCAGACUCCUACGGGAGGCAGCAGUGGGGAAUAUUGCACAAUGGGCGCAAGCCUGAUGCAGCCAUGCCGCGUGUAUGAAGAAGGCCUUCGGGUUGUAAAGUACUUUCAGCGGGGAGGAAGGGAGUAAAGUUAAUACCUUUGCUCAUUGACGUUACCCGCAGAAGAAGCACCGGCUAACUCCGU